CAGGAUCUUUGUAAGUGAGAAUUUCUCUGUAACAUUCUUUCAUUCCUUGAUAUUAAGCUUCUAGAAUUCACCUUUAAGUAACUUUAAUUUCUUCCAAACACACUUUAUAGGUGACCUAUGCCAAUUUUUAGUCAAGCUAUUACUUUCAAAUGGAAGAAAAUAAAUAUGAUCAGUAAUAUGGUUUAUGAACAUUAAAGGCUUUGCUUUGAUCUGUAGUUGGU
Molecule: long non-coding RNA, 221 nt
Filed under: Capsicum annuum
Lineage: Eukaryota; Viridiplantae; Streptophyta; Magnoliopsida; Solanales; Solanaceae
Description: long non-coding RNA (CANN_LNC021885)
Source: RNAcentral